Molecule: unclassified non-coding RNA, 233 nt
Filed under: fungal sp.
Lineage: Eukaryota; Fungi
Also listed under: 2 other names
Description: partial internal transcribed spacer region
Rfam family: Eukaryotic small subunit ribosomal RNA (bases 1-46)
Source: RNAcentral
AAGUCGUAACAAGGUUUCCGUAGGUGAACCUGCGGAAGGAUCAUUACAGAGUUCUUGCCCUUACGGGUAGAUCUCCCACCCUUGAAUACAUACCUUUGUUGCUUUGGCGGGCCGCGCUUGCGCUACUGGCUUCGGCUAGUACGUGCCCGCCAGAGAACCACAACUCUUGUUUUUAGUGAUGUCUGAGUACUAUAUAAUAGUUAAAACUUUCAACAACGGAUCUCUUGGUUCUG